AUUGAACGCUGGCGGCAGGCCUAACACAUGCAAGUCGAACGGUAACAGGAAGAAGCUUGCUUCUUUGCUGACGAGUGGCGGACGGGUGAGUAAUGUCUGGGAAACUGCCUGAUGGAGGGGGAUAACUACUGGAAACGGUAGCUAAUACCGCAUAACGUCGCAAGACCAAAGAGGGGGACCUUCUGGCCCCUUGCCAUCUGAUGUGCCCAGAUGGGAUUAGCUAGUAGGUGGGGUAACGGCUCACCUAGGCGACGAUCCCUAGCUGGUCUGAGAGGAUGACCAGCCACACUGGAACUGAGACACGGUCCAGACUCCUACGGGAGGCAGCAGUGGGGAAUAUUGCACAAAGGGCGCAAGCCUGAUGCAGCCAUGCCGCGUGUAUGAAGAAGGCCUUCGGGUUGUAAAGUACUUUUAGCGGGGAGGAAGGGAGUAAAGUUAAUACCUUUACUCAUUGACGUUACCCGCAGAAGAAGCACCGGCUAACUCCGUG
RNAcentral lists this ribosomal RNA (490 nucleotides) under uncultured bacterium. RNAcentral's name for it is "partial 16S ribosomal RNA". It matches the Rfam family "Bacterial small subunit ribosomal RNA", at positions 30 to 507 of the family's 1533-position model. The record is from RNAcentral.